Molecule: non-coding RNA, 1905 nt
Organism: Vigna umbellata (rice bean)
Lineage: Eukaryota; Viridiplantae; Streptophyta; Magnoliopsida; Fabales; Fabaceae
Source: RefSeq, a predicted model, not a curated record
AUUGUUGAAUGUAAAACUAGUUGGUAGCAUGGUGUCGUGAAAGCAACAGGUGCCAGUGUUCUUGUGAGAUGUUAAGUAUGAGUCAUUGAUUUAAAAAGGUGGCUUGUAGAUUUUGAGAGUUGCUUUCACUUAAUACUAGUUGAAGGGAGCUGAAUACUGAAUACAAGACAGAUGGUUCACAUGGCAGCAUCUGUAAGGGGGGUUCAUAAACUUGUAUCCUCCUCCCGGAUUGAAAAACUGCUUUCCCUUCCACGUUCCAAACAGCAUCUGCCACCGUGGGUUGAGAUUGUGCGCCAUUUUAGCUUUACUGAUGAUUUCAGUGGCAGAAGCAAAUAUACUACUGGGGAACGUGAUGAUUUUCUUCGUCAACAGCCAGACUCAAGUUUUGAAGACAAUGGUAGUAACCGAAACCAUGAGGCAUAUAAUGUUGAACAGGGAUUGUCAGAUUCAAUUCCAAGUAGACCUUUGAGAAGUAGGAAGCCAAUUAAUCAGCCUCCUCCACGUUUUCGAGAAUCAGGGAGAGUUUCCUUUCCUCCAAGAUUUGAUGAUAGCCAUGGUGCGCCUGGUGCUUUGGACAACUCAAAUAAAUCUUCCAAAAUUGAUCUUGCAUUUCAGGGCACGAAUGGGGCAGAAACAAAUAGGGACUUGGGGCAAUCAGGAGACAGUUUCCUUGACAAAUUCAAGCUUGCUUUUGAUGACAAAACAGUGAAUCAGUCAGAGGUUGCAGCAAGCGUGCAAUCUGAAGAAGCAAAGUGGUCAGAUUCCAAUUCAAAGGCUCAGGAGCCUGUGCCACAAGAUGCCGAUGAGAUAUUCAAGAAGAUGAAGGAGACUGGCCUUAUCCCUAAUGCUGUGGCUAUGCUCGAUGGUCUAUGUAAAGAUGGUCUGGUUCAAGAAGCCUUGAAACUUUUUGGUUUGAUGCGGGAGAAGGGAACCAUUCCAGAGAUUGUCAUAUACACAGCAGUAGUGGAGGGAUACACAAAGGUCGACAAGGCUGAUGAUGCGAAAAGGAUUUUCAGGAAAAUGCAGAGUAGUGGCAUUUCUCCCAAUGCUUUCAGUUACACAGUCCUUAUACAAGGACUCUACAAGUGUAGAAGAUUACAGGAUGCUUUUGAAUUUUGUGUGGAGAUGUUAGAAGCGGGCCACUCACCAAAUGUGACAACUUUUGUAGGCCUGGUGGAUGGUUUCUGCAAGGAAAAAGGGGUUGAAGAAGCUAAAGAUGCUAUCAAAACAUUAACUAAAAAGGGCUUUGCUUUUGAUGAGAAAUCUGUUAGGCAGUUUUUGGACAAGAAAACACCAUUUUCACCCUCUGUUUGGGAGGCGAUUUUUGGGAAGAAAGCCCCGCAGAGACCAUUUUAACUAUUUUUCAUACCAUUUCUAGGCUUCUGGGCAUGGAUCAUGACCUUAAGUUCAUGGUGAUCAGGAAGCAAGAAGUAGAAGCUGUGAUCUAAGGAGACAGACUUGACCAAUUUGUGUUGAAUCAAGAAACGCAAUAGUGUUUCCUAUAUGAUGCUGUGGCGAUUGUGGCGUAAUCAAACAUUCAACGGAGACAAUAGGGAUCAGCUUCUGCUCUUUUGGCUCCUUGCUUCACUUUUUGAGUAUCUCAUUUGUGUAGUUUGUUGCACACUUUUGGUAGCUUGGGGGUAAGAUACACUGAUACAUCAUUCUUUCGAAUUCCAAAAUUUUGUGCUAAGUUCAUCAUAAAAGGCUCCUACUCUGUUUCUGAAUGCUUGUUGCGGAUCAACGCUCUGUUUGAUUCCUUUGAUCUUCCUGGGUUUUCUUGUGUACCUCAUUAACAUACUGAUGUGAUCUUGGAUGACAUUAUUGAGGUAGUUUGAUGCUUGUUAUGACAUUCAUCAAUAGUAGAAGUGAACCUCAUUAAAAGCAAUCUCUCAAAUUCAGUUUCUA